GACGAACGCUGGCGGCGUGCCUAAUACAUGCAAGUUGAGCGCUGAAGGUUGGUACUUGUACCGACUGGAUGAGCAGCGAACGGGUGAGUAACGCGUGGGGAAUCUGCCUUUGAGCGGGGGACAACAUUUGGAAACGAAUGCUAAUACCGCAUAAAAACUUUAAACACAAGUUUUAAGUUUGAAAGAUGCAAUUGCAUCACUCAAAGAUGAUCCCGCGUUGUAUUAGCUAGUUGGCGAGGUAAAGGCUCACCAAGGCGAUGAUACAUAGCCGACCUGAGAGGGUGAUCGGCCACAUUGGGACUGAGACACGGCCCAAACUCCUACGGGAGGCAGCAGUAGGGAAUCUUCGGCAAUGGACGAAAGUCUGACCGAGCAACGCCGCGUGAGUGAAGAAGGUUGUCGGAUCGUAAAACUCUGUUGGUAGAGAAGAACGUUGGUGAGAGUGGAAAGCUCAUCAAGUGACGGUAACUACCCAGAAAGGGACGGCUAACUACGUG
RNAcentral lists this ribosomal RNA (497 nucleotides) under uncultured bacterium. Its description in RNAcentral is "partial 16S ribosomal RNA". It matches the Rfam family "Bacterial small subunit ribosomal RNA", at positions 28 to 507 of the family's 1533-position model. The record is from RNAcentral.